This 253-nucleotide ribosomal RNA is filed under the name uncultured bacterium. RNAcentral describes it as "partial 16S ribosomal RNA". It matches the Rfam family "Bacterial small subunit ribosomal RNA", at positions 524 to 776 of the family's 1533-position model. The record is from RNAcentral.
UACGGAGGGUGCAAGCGUUAUCCGGAUUCACUGGGUUUAAAGGGUGCGUAGGAGGGCAGGUAAGUCAGUGGUGAAAUCUUCGAGCUUAACUCGGAGACUGCCGUUGAUACUAUCUGUCUUGAAUACCGUGGAGAUGAGCGGAAUAUGUCAUGUAGCGGUGAAAUGCUUAGAUAUGACAUAGAACACCAAUUGCGAAGGCAGCUCGUUACACGAAUAUUGACUCUGAGGCACGAAAGCGUGGGGAUCAAACAGG